This 793-nucleotide ribosomal RNA is filed under the name uncultured Pelagibacteraceae bacterium. RNAcentral describes it as "bacterial SSU rRNA". It matches the Rfam family "Bacterial small subunit ribosomal RNA", at positions 45 to 886 of the family's 1533-position model. Lineage: Bacteria; Pseudomonadati; Pseudomonadota; Alphaproteobacteria; Candidatus Pelagibacterales; Candidatus Pelagibacteraceae. The record is from RNAcentral.
CGCCUAACACAUGCAAGUCGAACGAAGUAGCAAUACUUAGUGGCAGACGGGUGAGUAACAUGUGGGUAUCUACCCUUUGGCCUGGAAUAACACGAGGAAACUUGUGCUAAUACCAGAUAAGUCUUUACGGAGAAAGCUUUAUGCACCAUUGGAUGAGCCUGCACUUGAUUAGUUUGUUGGUGGGGUAAUGGCCUACCAAGACUGUGAUCAAUAGCUGAUUUGAGAGGAUGAUCAGCCACAUUGGGACUGAGACACGGCCCAAACUCCUACGGGAGGCAGCAGUGGGGAAUCUUGCACAAUGGAGGAAACUCUGAUGCAGCGAUGCCGCGUGAGUGAAGAAGGCCCUUGGGUUGUAAAGCUCUUUCGUCGGGGAAGAAAAUGACUGUACCCGAAUAAGAAGGUCCGGCUAACUUCGUGCCAGCAGCCGCGGUAAUACGAAGGGACCUAGCGUAGUUCGGAAUUACUGGGCUUAAAGAGUUCGUAGGUGGUUGAAAAAGUUAGUGGUGAAAUCCCAGAGCUUAACUCUGGAACUGCCAUUAAAACUUUUCAGCUAGAGUAUGAUAGAGGGAAGCAGAAUUUCUAGUGUAGAGGUGAAAUUCGUAGAUAUUAGAAAGAAUACCAAUUGCGAAGGCAGCUUUCUGGAUCAUUACUGACACUGAGGAACGAAAGCAUGGGUAGCGAAGAGGAUUAGAUACCCUCGUAGUCCAUGCCGUAAACGAUGUGUGUUAGACGUUGGAAAUUUAUUUUCAGUGUCGCAGCGAAAGCGAUAAACACACCGCCUGGGGAGUACGAC